UUUUAUAUUAAAGGAAGUAAUUUUAAAUGUUACUUUAAAAAGGUAUAUGUAAACCUUGCACCGAGUUUUCUGUGUGUAGAAUGGCGGCCUAGAGAGCUUGCAUUCCCUGGCCUGAGCCCACUGAUGCUCUGAGCCUUCUUUGCACAUCUCCCUUAAACCAUGGUGUCCCUAUGGCUCUGUCCUUGGCCCUUUCCUCCUGCUCUCCCUAGGUGUUUACUUCUAGGGCUUUAGCUAUCACUUCCCUAUAUUCCGGUAACUUUCAGGUCUCUCUCUCUAACCCUGACCUUUAUCCAGCUGCCUUAUAAGUACUUCAAAGUCAGUUUGUCUAAAACUGAAUUUAUGAUCUUCCCCCAAAAGCUAUUCCUCAUUCCCUCUUCCCUAUCCUUGUGAAUGACAGCAUUAUCUACCCAGCCACCAAACCCAAACCUUGGCCAUUAUCUCGAAUCCUUCCCUCCCAAUGUCCUAUAUCCUAGCAUUUGGUCACUAAAUCCUGGUGAUUCCACAUUUUGUUUGUUUGCUUGUUUUUUAGAGGCAGGGUCUUGCUCUUGUCACCCAGGCUGGAGUGCAGUGGCACGAUCACAGCUCACUGCAGCCUCAACUUCCUGAGCUCAAGCGAUUCUCCUGUCUCAGCCUCUCGAGUAGCUGGGAUUAUAGGCAUGAGCCACCACGCCUGGCUAAUUUUUGUAUUUUUUUUAUAGAGAUGAGGUCUUGCCAUAUUGCCCAGGCUGGUUUCAAACUCCUAGGCUCAAGUGAUCUGCCUGCCUCAGCCUCCUGAAGUGCUGGGAUUACAGGCAUGAGCCACCAUGCCCAGCCUGCCCAGCCUCCUCAGUUCCAGAUUUUGAGGAAGCUGUCCCAGGAACCUGUGGCCACAGCCAUCCCAUCAGCUGUGACUCCCAGGCAGCUGACCCUGUUAUCGUGGCCAGAGAGGAUGCCUGAGGAAGAGGGAAAGGAGUCAGCCUGUCUUUCCAAGCUGAUUUGGAAAGCAGUGUGUGCAUGCGUGUAAGUGUAUGCAUGGGUGUGUGUGUGUAUGUGGGUGUGUGGGGGGAUAUGUGUGCAUGUGUAUGCAUGUGUGGGUGUGUGUACGUGUGUGUGUGCAUGUGUGCUUGAGCACAUGCAUGCAGGGAUCCUAGACUCGGUAGACUGGGCUCAACCCCUGAAGAAGGCUAAGAGACUGAAAGAGGAUUAGCCGUAGGGCAGGGGGUUCUCUGUCAAGAGCUUUGGUUGGGGGAGGGCUGGGAUCAGACAGAGAAAGGCUGGAAGCAUCUGUGUACUAUGAAAAACCCCGAGGGCACCUUGACAGGUGCUGGAAAAGAGAAGGCAACCGUUCAUCCUAUUUCUUUGCUUCCAGAUGAAGAAACUGAGGCCCAUGGAGGAGUGACUUGUGCAAGGACACUCAGAAAGUGAGCAACAGAAUUAGGAUUUGGAUUCUGCCCCUGGCCAGUGUUAUUUUCAUCAGCACCUGGCCUCUUGAUAGAGAAGAAGCCAUCCUAUCUGACCAACUUCAGGCUAGUCUUAGAUGAGCCCUAGGCUGCAGUCAGGGCCCUCGGGCCACUCCAGAUCUCCUUGAUUCUGCCUUGAUUCCAUGUUUCCCUGAGGCUGUCUUGCCUCUCAGUGGGUGCCCCUGAAAUGCCAGGAACCCAGAACUGACCGGACAGUCAUGGUCCACAGAUCUCCUAGGGCAGGGAGCAGUCAUGGCAUUGGGCAGUGGAGAGAGGCUGCUUAGAGCAACACUGAGGGAAAACAGUCCUAGUUGGGAACCAAGGGGUACUGGAUUCCAGGGGUGGAGUCACCCAGUGACAAGGGACAGCAGUAAGAGAGUCCGAAAUGGGAGCUGAUGGGGGGUACAGAAUGGGGAGGGAGGGCUGGGGAGGGUCCUUCCAGCUGAGGAAGCAGCAGCCAGGGCUGGCCCUUACCCACACGCUCAGACUUCAUGGAGUCCCAGACAUUGCAGUUGAAGUCGUCGUAGCCAGCAAAUAGCAGGCGGCCACUGAGGGAGAAGGCCACGGACGUGAUGCCGCAGAUGAUGCUCUCGUGGGAGAAGCAGAUCAGCUCCUGGUCUGCCCGCAGGUCAAACAAGCGGCAGGAAGCGUCAUCCGAGCCCGUGCAGAUGGCCUCUCCAUUGGGGAAGAACUGAGGGCACGGGUGGCAAGUGGGUCAGGGAUCAGACCUGGGCAGCCCACAGCCUCUCCCACCCUCUGCCUCCCACCUGACAGCUCCAGGGCAAGCCGCUGCUCUCAGCCUCCCUGCCUGUCCCUUCCUUGGUUUGGGGUGAGAAGCAGCCCUGCCAACACAUACCACGUGCCAGUGACUUCCCUAUGCCCCUCGCCCGCUCUGCACUAUACAGCGCUGCAGGCAGGCAUCAUUUCCAUGUCGCAGGCAAGAGCACCAAGGCUUGCCUGCAGUGACCCGGCUAGAAGGGCGGACGGAGGUUGUCCCAGACUCCCAGACUACACAAGUGGGCUGGAUCAGGGUGUGCAAGAACAGGGUCCAGUACAAAUGCAAGGCCUGGAUCUCAUGGCGAGCAAAUGUCAGAUAAGCUCAAACGGAGGGAGAGUCUACAGAAAACUGGUUUGUACUCUUCAAAAAUGUCAAUGACAUAAAAGACAAAGGUGGGAAAACAGUUCCAGUUUAAAGGUGGUGACGAAAAAGAUAUGGCGAGGAAAGGUAAUGCACGUUUCUGGAUUGGAUCCUGGACAGAAAAAAACAUGAGCUAUUAUGGACAUUUUUGAGGCUAUUGGUGAAAUUUGAAUAUAGACUGUAGACUGUAGUAUUGUGUCAAUGUUGAGUUUCCUGAUCUUAAGAAUCAUACAGUGAUUAUGCUACAGAAGGGCUUUGUUUCAGGAAGUACUUAAGGGGUAAAGAAACAUGAUGUCUGCAACCUACUUUCAAAAGACACAGAAAGAAAAUGUGUAUCUAC
Molecule: small RNA, 2917 nt
Filed under: Pan troglodytes (chimpanzee)
Lineage: Eukaryota; Metazoa; Chordata; Mammalia; Primates; Hominidae
Description: processed transcript
Source: RNAcentral